ACUCAAAGGAAUUGACGGGGGCCCGCACAAGCGGUGGAGCAUGUGGUUCAAUUCGACGCAACGCGAAGAACCUUACCUGGGCUCGAACGGCUUCCCAACGACUGUGGAAACAUGGUUACCCCGCAAGGGGGUGGAGUCGAGGUGCUGCAUGGCUGUCGUCAGCUCGUGUCGUGAGAUGUUGGGUUAAGUCCCGCAACGAGCGCAACCCUUGUCCUGUGUUGCCAUGCCGAAAGGCGGAACUCGCAGGAGACCGCCAGCGAUAAGCUGGAGGAAGGUGGGGAUGACGUCAAGUCCUCAUGGCCUUUAUGUCCAGGGCUACACACGUGCUACAAUGGACGGUACAAUACGUCGCUAACCCGCGAGGGGGAGCCAAUCGCUAAAAACCGUUCUCAGUUCGGAUUGCAGGCUGCAACUCGCCUGCAUGAAGCUGGAAUCGCUAGUAAUGGCAGAUCAGCACGCUGCCGUGAAUACGUUCCCGGGCCUUGUACACACCGCCCGU
RNAcentral lists this ribosomal RNA (499 nucleotides) under uncultured bacterium. RNAcentral describes it as "partial 16S ribosomal RNA". It matches the Rfam family "Bacterial small subunit ribosomal RNA", at positions 899 to 1397 of the family's 1533-position model. The record is from RNAcentral.